UUUUCGGAGAGUUUGAUCCUGGCUCAGGACGAACGCUGGCGGCGUGCCUAAUACAUGCAAGUCGAGCGGACAGAAGGGAGCUUGCUCCCGGAUGUUAGCGGCGGACGGGUGAGUAACACGUGGGUAACCUGCCUGUAAGACUGGGAUAACUCCGGGAAACCGGAGCUAAUACCGGAUAGUUCCUUGAACCGCAUGGUUCAAGGAUGAAAGACGGUUUCGGCUGUCACUUACAGAUGGACCCGCGGCGCAUUAGCUAGUUGGUGGGGUAAUGGCUCACCAAGGCAACGAUGCGUAGCCGACCUGAGAGGGUGAUCGGCCACACUGGGACUGAGACACGGCCCAGACUCCUACGGGAGGCAGC
Molecule: ribosomal RNA, 361 nt
Filed under: Bacillus zhangzhouensis
Lineage: Bacteria; Bacillati; Bacillota; Bacilli; Caryophanales; Bacillaceae
Description: bacterial SSU rRNA
Rfam family: Bacterial small subunit ribosomal RNA
Source: RNAcentral